GAUGAACGCUGGCGGCGUGCCUAAUACAUGCAAGUCGAACGCUUCACUUCGGUGAAGAGUGGCGAACGGGUGAGUAAUACAUAAGUAACCUGGCAUCUACAGGGGGAUAACUGAUGGAAACGUCAGCUAAGACCGCAUAGGUGUAGAGAUCGCAUGAACUCUAUAUGAAAAGUGCUACGGGACUGGUAGAUGAUGGACUUAUGGCGCAUUAGCUUGUUGGUAGGGUAACGGCCUACCAAGGCGACGAUGCGUAGCCGACCUGAGAGGGUGACCGGCCACACUGGGACUGAGACACGGCCCAGACUCCUACGGGAGGCAGCAGUAGGGAAUUUUCGGCAAUGGGGGAAACCCUGACCGAGCAACGCCGUGUGAAGGAAGAAGUAAUUCGUUAUGUAAACUUCUGUCAUAGAGGAAGAACGGUGGAUAUAGGGAAUGAUAUCCAAGUGACGGUACUCUAUAAGAAAGCCACGGCUAACUACGUG
This 482-nucleotide ribosomal RNA is filed under the name uncultured bacterium. RNAcentral's name for it is "partial 16S ribosomal RNA". It matches the Rfam family "Bacterial small subunit ribosomal RNA", at positions 28 to 507 of the family's 1533-position model. The record is from RNAcentral.